This 702-nucleotide ribosomal RNA is filed under the name Triticum aestivum (bread wheat). RNAcentral describes it as "partial small subunit ribosomal RNA". The record is from RNAcentral. Lineage: Eukaryota; Viridiplantae; Streptophyta; Magnoliopsida; Poales; Poaceae.
AUGGACACACUAGAAGAAAGGGCAGAAAAAGAUACACAAUGCUCAGAUGUCAUUGGACUACUAACACAAAUGAAGCCUGUGGAGACAAGAAUAACAAAGAAGAACCCACAACCUUCAUAUCUCCACGAGAUUGAAAUCCUAAUGCCAGAGGACUCGACAGAAGAAACCUUACCAAAAAUGAUUAGUAUAGAUAGAAGUAAUAAAGGAACAUUAGAAGAACAAAUGUUUUAUAGGAGGAGAACAUUACAAGAACUUACUACCAUGAGGCACGAAAACCAGCCAGGCCAGAAAAGGUCACACCUCGUAAAAAGAACAUUUGUGCCUAAUGAUAAGCUUGAGAUGCUCUACUUGGCCAAUAAAGCCGAGGAGGAACUGAUGGAUGAUGAAGUUGACACCGUGUUAAUGAAGAAGCAGAACAUGCUGGAUAGAAAGAGGACUACAUUAAACAAAGAUAAGCGUCAAGACAAAGUAUCAUCAUCAUCACGUGUGCUCCGAAGUGGCAAUAAAAGGAGACUUAGAUCUGUUGCAAUAUCAGAUAGCUCAGAGGAUGAAUGCACUGAGACGAAUAUGCUUGAACAAAAGGACAAAGGUGCCCGCGGGAACAGGAAACGUGUUAAGGCAAAAUCCAAAAAUACAAUGCUUGAAGAUGAAGAUGAAGUAUGGAAAGCAAAGCCCAGGAGAACAAGGAUGUUAUGUAGAUAA